RNAcentral lists this transfer RNA (73 nucleotides) under Phacus orbicularis. RNAcentral describes it as "tRNA-Arg". It matches the Rfam family "tRNA". From Rfam's summary of the family: Transfer RNA (tRNA) molecules are approximately 80 nucleotides in length. Their secondary structure includes four short double-helical elements and three loops (D, anti-codon, and T loops). Further hydrogen bonds mediate the characteristic L-shaped molecular structure. tRNAs have two regions of fundamental functional importance: the anti-codon, which is responsible for specific mRNA codon recognition, and the 3' end, to which the tRNAs corresponding amino acid is attached (by aminoacyl-tRNA synthetases). tRNAs cope with the degeneracy of the genetic code in two manners: having more than one tRNA (with a specific anti-codon) for a particular amino acid; and 'wobble' base-pairing, i.e. permitting non-standard base-pairing at the 3rd anti-codon position. The record is from RNAcentral. Lineage: Eukaryota; Euglenozoa; Euglenophyceae; Euglenales; Phacaceae.
GUUAUAGUAGCCUAACGGAUAAAGCAGCAGCCUUCUAAGCUGGAGAUUGUAGGUUCGAAUCCUACCUAUGACG